Molecule: ribosomal RNA, 427 nt
Filed under: uncultured bacterium
Lineage: Bacteria
Description: bacterial SSU rRNA
Rfam family: Bacterial small subunit ribosomal RNA
Source: RNAcentral
UCUUGCGCAAUGGGAGCAAUCCUGACGCAGCGACGCCGCGUGGGGGAGGAAGGGCUUCGGCUCGUAAACCCCUGUUGCCCGGGGCGAACAUCCCGUUUCGACGGGACUGACGGUACCGGGUGAGGAAGCACCGGCUAACUCCGUGCCAGCAGCCGCGGGAAUACGGAGGGUGCGAGCGUUGUCCGGAAUCACUGGGCGUAAAGGGCGCGUAGGUGGCUUCUCAAGAGCGCGGGGAAAGCCCGGGGCUCAACCCCGGGUCGGCCGUGCGGACCGGGAGGCUCGAGCACUGUAGGGGCGGGUGGAAUUCCGGGUGUAGCGGUGGAAUGCGUAGAGAUCCGGAAGAACACCGGUGGCGAAGGCGGCCCGCUGGGCAGGAAGGCUCGCAAGAGCCGGCUGACACUGAGGCGCGACAGCGUGGGGAGCAAAC